AUGUGGGAGACCCGGAUGAAGUUCCCGGCUUUGGCCUGGCCUGGCCCCUGUGACCACUUGAGGGCUGAACCAGUGGAUGGAAGACCUCUCUCUCUCUGUAACUCUGCCUUUCAAAUAAAUACAUCUUUAAAAAACUUUCAAGAAAAAAAAAAAAAAAAAAAAAUCAUAAAAGCCGGGAAGCAACAGGCCUCUCUACAGGUCCGUGGGUCUUCCAGAAUGGCCAGCGCUGUCCCGACGUUUCAGCCGCUGGGGCCAGGGGCGGCCGCCUCCUCCUGGACUUUGCAGAAUCGCUGGUUUGUCCGAGUGCUUUUCCCUCUGGGGAGGGCUAUGCUGCGCCUGGGAGGGGCAGCCCCCCAUCAUCUGCCCAGGCCCCAAGUGACCGGACUUCCUCCCCCGGGAACCUUCCAGAGCCAGGGCGUCCUCGGCCACCUGCCCCUCCUCGGCACUUGGGCCGUCGCCUCUCCCGACAGGCACCGUUACACCACGCUACCCCUGCUGGUAACACUCAUCUCCCCACUAGCCUUUGAGCUUCCAGAAGGUUCUGAAGGGUUCCCACACCACAGAAUCCUGUCCCACAGUGAAUGCCGCAGAUGGUCUCCUGCCCGCCCCCGAUGCCCAGGUUCUCCUCUUCUGCCUGCAUCUUGCCCUGAGCUCAGCUCCAGGGCUCUGCGCCGCAAGCCCUGCACACUCCUGACCCCUGCGCCCCAAGCCCUGCACACUCCUGACCCCUACACCCACAACAAGCUGCUGCCACCCAGUCAGAGAGCUCCCCCUCCCAGCACGUGCCCCCCCCCAUCUCUCCAGGAUAUGCACACACUUGGGCGUGGCUAUGUUUCAAUAAAACUUUAUUUACAGAGAGCUUCAGGCCAGGUGAGCGCAGGGGGUGCACCCGCCACCCCACACCUCGCCCUGUGCAUCUCUCCUCCUUGCUCUUCCUAAAUUGUAGCCUUUAGCAGUAACCAGUAAAAACAAAACAAAACAAAACAAAAACCAGCUUUCUUUACAAAGACAGAUAGCAGGCUUGAUUUGGCCUCUGGGGCUAGAAUUCGCUGAGCCCUGAACACUUGGGGGGCGGGGGGGGGGGGGCUCCUAGGUCAAACUUGGGGACAAACUCUCUUAAAAAGCAGGGGAGAGGUGAGGGAGGGAGGCUCUGCCCCCCGUCACGCUGGGCACAGAAGGAAACUGAACCACGCGGCCCUGGGCACGUUCCCCUGGGUCCUGUAUUCCCCCGGGGAGCAAGGAAACAGGGCGGAAGCCAAAGGGCCCCGACUUUCCGCCUUCAGCGGGCUCCCUGGGUCCGCCUAGAAGG
Molecule: long non-coding RNA, 1309 nt
Filed under: Oryctolagus cuniculus (rabbit)
Lineage: Eukaryota; Metazoa; Chordata; Mammalia; Lagomorpha; Leporidae
Description: lncRNA (ENSOCUG00000033466.1)
Source: RNAcentral